CACGUAGGGGGCAAGCGUUGUCCGGAUUUAUUGGGCGUAAAGAGCUCGUAGGUGGUUCGGUAAGUCAGGUGUGAAACCUCCAGGCUCAACCUGGAGACGCCACUUGAUACUGCUGUGACUGGAGUCCGGUAGGGGAGCGUGGAAUUCCUGGUGUAGCGGUGAAAUGCGCAGAUAUCAGGAGGAACACCAGCGGCGAAGGCAGCUCGCUGGGACGGUACUGACGCUGAGACGCGAAAGCGUGGGGAGCGAACAGG
RNAcentral lists this ribosomal RNA (254 nucleotides) under uncultured bacterium. RNAcentral describes it as "partial 16S ribosomal RNA". It matches the Rfam family "Bacterial small subunit ribosomal RNA", at positions 524 to 776 of the family's 1533-position model. The record is from RNAcentral.